AGAGAUGUGUGAUGACGCAUAUCAAUAAGCGGAGGAAAAGAAACUAACAAGGAUUCCCUUAGUAACGGCGAGUGAAGCGGGAAGAGCUCAAAUUUGAAAUCUUCAAGGUUCUACCUUGACGAAUUGUAGUUUAUAGAAGUGUUUUCUGUUAGUGGAGUGGCAAAAGUUCUUUGGAAUAGGACAUCAUAGAGGGUGAGAAUCCCGUAUUUGGUCAUUCCUCCUAGCGUUGUGAUACACUUUCAACGAGUCGGAUUGUUUGGGAAUGCAGUCCAAAAUGGGUGGUAAAUUUCAUCUAAAGCUAAAUAUUGGCGAGAGACCGAUAGCGAACAAGUACCGUGAGGGAAAGAUGAAAAGAACUUUGAAAAGAGAGUUAAACAGUACGUGAAAUUGUCAAAAGGGAAGCGUUUGACACCAGUGUUGUUUUUUCCGAAAAUCAAUUACGAAUGUUUUGUUUUUGAGGAGUUAUGACUUCAUCGGCUUGCUCCUUUCUUUACUGAAACUUUCUUAAUGCACUUUUCGGUUAACAAGUCAACAUCAAUUUCUUUUGUUGUAAAAGGGUCAUGAGGAAGGUGGCUUUCUUUUCGGAGAAAGUGUUUAUAGCCUUGUGCCUCUGCAAUCGGAGAGAUUGAGGUCUGCAGCGUAGAUCCUUCGGGGUUAGAUACAUUUGUGCUAAGUUAUAGCCUUUCAUAGACAACUUGUUGACUAUGUUUAGUCUUGUAGCUUACUCGCUUAUCGCUAUUUUACCUACGCUUAGGAUGUUGAACUCUAUCACACACAG
This 778-nucleotide ribosomal RNA is filed under the name uncultured Neocallimastigales. Its description in RNAcentral is "partial large subunit ribosomal RNA". It matches the Rfam family "Eukaryotic large subunit ribosomal RNA", at positions 23 to 621 of the family's 3401-position model. Lineage: Eukaryota; Fungi; Neocallimastigomycota; Neocallimastigomycetes; Neocallimastigales. The record is from RNAcentral.